Molecule: ribosomal RNA, 560 nt
Filed under: uncultured bacterium
Lineage: Bacteria
Description: bacterial SSU rRNA
Rfam family: Bacterial small subunit ribosomal RNA
Source: RNAcentral
CCUACGGGAGGCAGUAGUGGGGAAUCUUGCGCAAUGGGCGAAAGCCUGACGCAGCCAUGCCGCGUGAAUGAUGAAGGUCUUAGGAUUGUAAAAUUCUUUCACCGGGGACGAUAAUGACGGUACCCGGAGAAGAAGCCCCGGCUAACUUCGUGCCAGCAGCCGCGGUAAUACGAAGGGGGCUAGCGUUGCUCGGAAUUACUGGGCGUAAAGGGAGCGUAGGCGGAUAGUUUAGUCAGAGGUGAAAGCCCAGGGCUCAACCUUGGAAUUGCCUUUGAUACUGGCUAUCUUGAGUUUGGGAGAGGUGAGUGGAACUCCGAGUGUAGAGGUGAAAUUCGUAGAUAUUCGGAAGAACACCAGUGGCGAAGGCGACUCACUGGCCCAAUACUGACGCUGAGGCUCGAAAGCGUGGGGAGCAAACAGGAUUAGAUACCCUGGUAGUCCACGCCGUAAACGAUGAGUGCUAGUUGUCGGCAUGCAUGCAUGUCGGUGACGCAGCUAACGCAUUAAGCACUCCGCCUGGGGAGUACGGUCGCAAGAUUAAAACUCAAAGGAAUUGACGG